This 334-nucleotide unclassified non-coding RNA is filed under the name Hevea brasiliensis (rubber tree). The record is from RNAcentral. Lineage: Eukaryota; Viridiplantae; Streptophyta; Magnoliopsida; Malpighiales; Euphorbiaceae.
CCCCAGGAUACAAAAUGUUAAAAAAAGAAUGAUCAACUAAUAAGAGGCAUGUUUAAUGUACAGAGACGGGGGAAAAAUGAUAAUAAUCUACCGAAAGUUUUUGUCUAUUCUAUCUCAGUUUCCCGUUUGAUCAUGUCAUCGCCAUCUAUAUUAUCAGGAGCUGAAUCAGCUUUUUCAGCCUCAAGGCUUUUCAGCUGGAGUUCAAGCUUCAGCCUAUUAAGUUCGAGAUCCUUCUCUUCUAGCUCCUCUUGCAAUACAAGUACCAUUUCAUUUGAUUUCACCACGUCAUUAGUCAGGCCCUCCAUGUGUUUGUGAAGUCCUUCAAAUUGACUCC